RNAcentral lists this ribosomal RNA (469 nucleotides) under uncultured Glomus. RNAcentral's name for it is "SSU rRNA". It matches the Rfam family "Eukaryotic small subunit ribosomal RNA", at positions 583 to 1056 of the family's 1831-position model. The record is from RNAcentral. Lineage: Eukaryota; Fungi; Glomeromycota; Glomeromycetes; Glomerales; Glomeraceae.
UUCCAGCUCCAAUAGCGUAUAUUAAAGUUGUUGCAGUUAAAAAGCUCGUAGUUGAAUUUCGGGGUUAGUAGGUUGGUCAUGCCUCUGGUAUGUACUGAUCUCACUGAUUCCUCCUUCCUUAUGAACCGUAAUGCCAUUAAUUUGGUGUUGCGGGGAAUUUGGACUGUUACUUUGAAAAAAUUAGAGUGUUUAAAGCAGGCUAACGCUUGAAUACAUUAGCAUGGAAUAAUGAAAUAGGACGUUCGAUCUUAUUUUGUUGGUUUCUAGGAUUGACGUAAUGAUUAAUAGGGAUAGUUGGGGGCAUUAGUAUUCAAUUGUCAGAGGUGAAAUUCUUGGAUUUAUUGAAGACUAACUACUGCGAAAGCAUUUGCCAAGGAUGUUUUCAUUAAUCAAGAACGAAAGUUAGGGGAUCGAAGACGAUCAGAUACCGUCGUAGUCUUAACCAUAAACUAUGCCGACUAGGGAUCGG